Anolis carolinensis (green anole) is the source of this 1480-nucleotide long non-coding RNA. RefSeq lists it as uncharacterized. The record is from RefSeq and is a predicted model, not a curated record. NCBI's taxonomy places the organism in Eukaryota, Metazoa, Chordata, Lepidosauria, Squamata, Anolidae. The transcript is spliced from 5 exons.
UCGAUUAUCCCUGUUACAUAUGACAGAAAGUCUUGGACCUGUCUGACCAUCUGAGCAGAGAUGAAUUACUCUGGCAAUAAAAGAUGUUGGCUGGCAUCUGAUUUCUUAUGCAUUUCUCCAAGAUAGGAAAGCAUUGGUUUUGCAAUUGUUUUAUUUUAGACAUACCUGUAAGUUCCAUCAGGAAGUGAGGACAUUAUGAUGUAUCAAGCUCUUGUGUCCUUAGAAUCCCAUGCUGGAAUUUCAUCUUCUGCUGUAGGUCUGCCCGCUUUACAUAAAGACAAUAGCCCCAAAGAUGUCAACGUAAGACCUAGUUGGCAGAACAAACUUGAAUAAUUUUUCCCAUUCGGUUUGGGAAUGGUCAGCUCUGUGUCACAGGACAUUGCCAUAAUUCCUUUGUUCUCCACACAUGGCCUGGUGCUUUGAUCUACUUUAAUCCUUUCACAGAUCUCUUAAAACAAUCUUGACUCCCAUGUUUGGAGAUCUUGACUUAAGGAGCACAUGCACCAAUGGCUUAGAGAAAGACACUGAGAUUUAUUGUACAAACUUCAUUCUGAGAUAGGAAAGUUACUUAGUGAGCUGAUCUAACCUAGCUACAUAUUGGAAAAUUGAGAGAGGACUGCUGGAAAGAAGAAGAGGUGGAGAAACAUCCCCAAGAGUAUCUGUUUACAUCACAGAAGGUUCAGGAUAGGUAGACAUAAAGGGGGGUACUUCAGGUCACUAUCUCACCUUACUACUAUUGUCCACUUUGAGGCAUUCAUCGCUCUUGGGUGCUAAAAAUCAUUGUAGAUGGAGAUGCUGAAGCGCAUCUGUACUGGGCUCUCCUUCCCCAUCUUUCCACACAGUUGAUAAAUACUAAGCCACUCUCCUUUAGCAACUCUCUGUAAAUCCAGAAUCUAUUUUAAGCAAUCAGGAUGGAUGGGGCGGCGGCAGCAAAGCACAAUAACAGCAACAACAUUAUCAUUAAAAAGCUUGUAGUUGGAAGGAGCUAGUAAUGAAUCCUUAAACGUGUUUGUUAAAAUAUUUCCAGGACAACGUUAGGAGAAAAUAUAGAUCAGUGACAAGAAUGAUUCUGGCAAGGAAUUAAAACACAUUAUGAGAAACCUCCAGGCACAGAGGAAGAACAGGUUGAGAAGGGAAAGUAAUUGUCUCAUAAGGAUGAAAUGUGGCAAAGAUAAAUGACUCCACUAAGGAUCGGCGGUUCAGAUGAGAGCAGGAAUUAGGCUUCUUACUGCCAGGGAGGCAGCAGGUAGUCAACUGGCACUUGGUGGCAUUUUUAGAUUGAAUGGAGGGUGGUGAACAAAUUGCAUCCUGAUUCAGAACAGACUAUUUGGAAACAGAGGAACCAGUUAAUCAAGUUAAUGGUCACAUUCAAACAGUAGAGGUCUGCAAAUGCAAAGAGGACCUGCAAAAGAGGACUCCAGGCCCAGGAAAUUCAGCACCAAAAUGUGAGAUCCAGGAAUGAGCCAUGGUGACAUCACAU